UACGGAGGGUGCAAGCGUUAUCCGGAUUCACUGGGCUUAAAGGGUGCGUAGGCGGACAGGUAAGUCAGUGGUGAAAUCUCCGGGCUUAACCCGGAAACUGCCGUUGAUACUAUCUGUCUUGAAUAUCGUGGAGGUAAGCGGAAUAUGUCAUGUAGCGGUGAAAUGCUUAGAUAUGACAUAGAACACCCAUUGCGAAGGCAGCUUACUACACGAUCAUUGACGCUGAGGCACGAAAGCGUGGGGAGCAAACAGG
Molecule: ribosomal RNA, 253 nt
Filed under: uncultured bacterium
Lineage: Bacteria
Description: partial 16S ribosomal RNA
Rfam family: Bacterial small subunit ribosomal RNA
Source: RNAcentral